GAGAUAGUAGUAUAAAUGUUUUAGUAUAUUCUUUUUUCGCAAGAAAGGUUAGUUAUCUUA
This 60-nucleotide transfer RNA is filed under the name Heterakis beramporia. RNAcentral describes it as "tRNA-Glu". Lineage: Eukaryota; Metazoa; Nematoda; Chromadorea; Rhabditida; Heterakidae. The record is from RNAcentral.